GGCCAGGUAGCUCAGUUGGUACGAGCGUCCGCCUGAAAAGCGGAAGGUCGCCGGUUCGACCCCGGCCCUGGCCACCU
RNAcentral lists this transfer RNA (77 nucleotides) under Saccharomonospora xinjiangensis XJ-54. Its description in RNAcentral is "tRNA-Phe". It matches the Rfam family "tRNA". Rfam says of the family: Transfer RNA (tRNA) molecules are approximately 80 nucleotides in length. Their secondary structure includes four short double-helical elements and three loops (D, anti-codon, and T loops). The record is from RNAcentral. Lineage: Bacteria; Bacillati; Actinomycetota; Actinomycetes; Pseudonocardiales; Pseudonocardiaceae. RNAcentral also lists the same sequence under 2 other names.